CAGCAGCCACGGUAAUACGAAAGGUCCAAGCGUUACUCGGAAUUACUGGGCGUAAAGCGCGCGUAGGCGGUCUUGUAUGUCGAUUGUGAAAGCCCCGGGCUCAACCUGGGAACUGCAGUCGAAACUGCAAGACUUGAAUGUUGGAGAGGUUGGGGGAAUACCUAGUGGAGAAGUGAAAUUCGUAGAGAUUAGGUGGAACACCAGAGGCGAAGGCGCCUGACUGGCCAAACAUUGACGCUAAGGCGCGAAAGCGUGGGUAGCGAACAGGAUUAGAUACCCCCGUAGUCCCUGUCUCUUAUAC
RNAcentral lists this ribosomal RNA (301 nucleotides) under uncultured bacterium. RNAcentral's name for it is "partial 16S ribosomal RNA". It matches the Rfam family "Bacterial small subunit ribosomal RNA", at positions 509 to 807 of the family's 1533-position model. The record is from RNAcentral.